RNAcentral lists this ribosomal RNA (501 nucleotides) under uncultured bacterium. Its description in RNAcentral is "bacterial SSU rRNA". It matches the Rfam family "Bacterial small subunit ribosomal RNA", at positions 28 to 529 of the family's 1533-position model. The record is from RNAcentral.
GAUGAACGCUAGCGGAAGGCUUAAUACAUGCAAGUCGAGCGGUAUAGUGACUUCGGUUGCUAGAGAGCGGCGCACGGGUGAGUAACGCGUACAUGACCUACCUCUAAGAUCGGGAUAGCCCUGGGAAACUGGGAUUAAUACCGGAUGUGAUAAUAAGUAUAAGGAUUUAUUAUUAAAGUUGAGGCGCUUAGAGAUGGGUGUGCGUCUGAUUAGCUAGUUGGUAGGGUAAGGGCCUACCAAGGCGACGAUCAGUAGGGGGCGUGAGAGCGUGAUCCCCCACACGGGUACUGAGACACGGACCCGACUCCUACGGGAGCAGCAGUAGGGAAUAUUGGUUAAUGGACGGAAGUCUGAACCAGCCAUUCCGCGUGCAGGAAGAAGGUCCUAUGGACUGUAAACUGCUUUUAGCAGAGAAGAAACGCCUUCAUUUAUGAGGGUCUGACGGUAUCUGCGGAAUAAGCACCGGCUAACUCCGUGCCAGCAGCCGCGGUAAAUGACGUC